UGGGGAAUAUUGGACAAUGGGCGCAAGCCUGCUCCAGCCAUGCCGCGUGAGUGAUGAAGGCCCUAGGGUUGUAAAGCUCUUUCACCGGUGAAGAUAUGACGGUAACCGGAGAAGAAGCCCCGGCUAACUUCGUGCCAGCAGCCGCGGUAAUACGAAGGGGGCUAGCGUUGUUCGGAUUUACUGGGCGUAAAGCGCACGUAGGCGGACUAUUAAGUCAGGGGUGAAAUCCCGGGGCUCAACCCCGGAACUGCCUUUGAUACUGGUAGUCUUGAGUUCGAGAGAGGUGAGUGGAAUUCCGAGUGUAGAGGUGAAAUUCGUAGAUAUUCGGAGGAACACCAGUGGCGAAGGCGGCUCACUGGCUCGAUACUGACGCUGAGGUGCGAAAGCGUGGGGAGCAAACAGG
This 403-nucleotide ribosomal RNA is filed under the name Actinomycetes bacterium. RNAcentral's name for it is "Actinobacteria bacterium partial 16S ribosomal RNA". It matches the Rfam family "Bacterial small subunit ribosomal RNA", at positions 355 to 776 of the family's 1533-position model. The record is from RNAcentral. Lineage: Bacteria; Bacillati; Actinomycetota; Actinomycetes.